Molecule: long non-coding RNA, 227 nt
Filed under: Eucalyptus grandis
Lineage: Eukaryota; Viridiplantae; Streptophyta; Magnoliopsida; Myrtales; Myrtaceae
Description: long non-coding RNA (EGRA_LNC003981)
Source: RNAcentral
AAAAGAAUGUCAAAAGUGACGUGUUCUAGUUCUAGAAGGGAUGGGGAAAUUUAUGCAGCAUUCCAUCACUCAUGGUCACUUGAUAGUUUUCAAAUAUGGGAAAGACUCACUCUAUACUCAUGUAAAUAUAUUUGAUAAAAGUGCUUAUAUAGAUACAUUAUCCCUCAAGCAGUGAUGAAAUUUAAAAUCCAGAGAGUGAAUUCCAUCUUCAUCUUGCCCUACAGUCC